RNAcentral lists this ribosomal RNA (432 nucleotides) under uncultured bacterium. Its description in RNAcentral is "partial 16S ribosomal RNA". It matches the Rfam family "Bacterial small subunit ribosomal RNA", at positions 29 to 507 of the family's 1533-position model. The record is from RNAcentral.
ACGAACGCUGGCGGCAUGCCUAACACAUGCAAGUCGAACGAGACCUUCGGGUCUAGUGGCGCACGGGUGCGUCACGCGUGGGAACCUGCCCUUAGGUUCGGAAUAACUCCCCGAAAGGGGUGCUAAUACCGGAUAAUGUCUUCGGACCAAAGAUUUAUCGCCUUUGGAUGGGCCCGCGUUGGAUUAGCUAGUUGGUAGGGUAAAAGCCUACCAAGGCGACGAUCCAUAGCUGGUCUGAGAGGAUGAUCAGCCACACUGGGACUGAGACACGGCCCAGACUCCUACGGGAAGCAGCAGUGGGGAAUAUUGGACAAUGGGCGAAAGCCUGAUCCAGCAAUGCCGCGUGAGUGAUGAAGGCCUUAGGGUUGUAAAUCUCUUUUACCCGGGAUGAUAAUGACAGUACCGGGAGAAUAAGCUCCGGCUAACUCCGUG